Molecule: long non-coding RNA, 1115 nt
Filed under: Homo sapiens (human)
Lineage: Eukaryota; Metazoa; Chordata; Mammalia; Primates; Hominidae
Description: HSALNT0013524
Source: RNAcentral
GUGACAUUGACACACUGUCCAUGCAAAUUGCUAACUGCUGCUGUAAACAAAUAGCUAUCAGACAAAAACAGAAACUAACCCUGGAUGUAGGCAAGAGGACUAGAGUUGCUUCCAAUCACCAAGGAAAAUACAUUCCCAUUAGAAGUAAUAAAACAAGAGCUGUUUUUCUGGCAUGAAGAAGUAGGAGAGAAUUUUUUUUUUCUUCUUUACUGAAUUGGAAGAAAGGAAUGAAAACACAGAUAAUAACCAUGGAUAUGUGGAAGGAGACAAGAUGACGCCUCUUUAACUCUGAUUCAAAUGCUUAGCUUUGGUGAUACGCAAAAAGCUACCACUAUGUCUCCACGAAGCUGAGUAUUUUCCUUGGAGUAGCUUUUUAUUUGGACAUAUGGAAUGAAACUUACUUAAUAUUCUGCAGAGAUCUUCCUGGUGUUUCCAAAAUGGUGAGACAGGAUGGCUGGAAGAGGCUGAAGUUGGGAAUCUGCCUUCCUCCAGUUUGGAGGAGACUUUGUUUGUUUUCAAUACCAGCAUCUAAAAGAAGAAAAUAAUAACAAGAAAGUUCUGGAGUAAAGUCCCUAAAUGAGGAGAAGAUAGGAGUACUGACAGUAUCAGUUUGGAGCAGAAUAUAAUAACUUUGGACCUUCCAGAUAACCUGAACAAGGUAAACAACACCCCUUAGCAACACAACUUAGCAAGGCUUCUUCAGCUUCCUGGUUCAGGUUAGGAGAUUUGGGAGUUGUCCUAGUAAUCAGAGUAUAGUUGAGGACCAUUACUGUCCACAAGAAAAGUAAUUUUCAUGGGUAGGAUUUGGCAACUCUUCUUGCCAUCCCAUCCCUGUGUAAGAGACAAAAUAGCAAUUCCCUACAAUUUUACCUACUGCAGAAGCUAUAAAUGAAUUCCUAAGUACAUCCUGCAAAGAACUAAACCAAAGCCUGUUUUAUCACAGCGUAGAUGGCUUCCAGCUACCUUAAAUGCAGCCAUAUGCUCCCUGAUAUUAUAAGUCCUAUUAUGCAAGCCUCCUCCCCAAUCUCAGAGGAGACUAGAAGACAUGCCACUGCUGUUGCUUCCCAUCCACAUUUUAAAAUAACAGAAUAAAAGAAAAAUCAGCUUCAAUUGGC